RNAcentral lists this ribosomal RNA (362 nucleotides) under uncultured bacterium. RNAcentral's name for it is "partial 16S ribosomal RNA". It matches the Rfam family "Bacterial small subunit ribosomal RNA", at positions 338 to 697 of the family's 1533-position model. The record is from RNAcentral.
CCUACGGGCGGCAGCAGUGAUGAAUAUUGGUCAAUGGACGAGAGUCUGAACCAGCCAAGCAGCGUGAAGGAUGACUGCCCUAUGGGUUGUAAACUUCUUUUAUAUGGGAAUAAAAUGUUCUACGUGUGGGAUGUUGUAUGUACCAUAUGAAUAAGGUUCGGCUAACUCCGUGCCAGCAGCCGCGGUAAUACGGAGGAUUCGAGCGUUAUCCGGAUUUAUUGGGUUUAAAGGGAGCGUAGGUGGUUUGUUAAGUCAGUUGUGAAAGUUUGCGGCUCAACCGUAAAAUUGCAGUUGAAACUGGCAGUCUUGAGUAAAGUAGGGGUGGGCGGAAGUAGGGGUGUAGCGGUGAAAUGCUUGGAUAU